CAGAAGGUAGUUUAGUCUAAAAUACCAGCUUUGGGAGUUGGUGAUGGGGGUUUAAUUCCUUCCUUUCUGA
Molecule: transfer RNA, 70 nt
Filed under: Podargus strigoides (tawny frogmouth)
Lineage: Eukaryota; Metazoa; Chordata; Aves; Caprimulgiformes; Podargidae
Also listed under: 1 other name
Rfam family: tRNA
About the family: Transfer RNA (tRNA) molecules are approximately 80 nucleotides in length. Their secondary structure includes four short double-helical elements and three loops (D, anti-codon, and T loops).
Source: Rfam by way of RNAcentral